This 545-nucleotide ribosomal RNA is filed under the name uncultured Actinomycetes bacterium. Its description in RNAcentral is "bacterial SSU rRNA". It matches the Rfam family "Bacterial small subunit ribosomal RNA", at positions 443 to 982 of the family's 1533-position model. Lineage: Bacteria; Bacillati; Actinomycetota; Actinomycetes. The record is from RNAcentral.
GGGGAUCCUCUAGAGAUUAAGAAGCGAAAGUGACGGUACCUGCAGAAAAAGCACCGGCUAACUACGUGCCAGCAGCCGCGGUAAUACGUAGGGCGCAAGCGUUGUCCGGAAUUAUUGGGCGUAAAGAGCUCGUAGGCGGUCUGUCGCGUCUGCUGUGAAAACCCGAGGCUCAACCUCGGGCCUGCAGUGGGUACGGGCAGACUAGAGUGCGGUAGGGGAGAUUGGAAUUCCUGGUGUAGCGGUGGAAUGCGCUGAUAUCAGGAGGAACACCGAUGGCGAAGGCAGAUCUCUGGGCCGUAACUGACGCUGAGGAGCGAAAGCGUGGGGAGCGAACAGGAUUAGAUACCCUGGUAGUCCACGCCGUAAACGUUGGGCGCUAGAUGUGGGGACCAUUCCACGGUUUCCGUGUCGCAGCUAACGCAUUAAGCGCCCCGCCUGGGGAGUACGGCCGCAAGGCUAAAACUCAAAGGAAUUGACGGGGGCCCGCACAAGCGGCGGAGCAUGCGGAUUAAUUCGAUGCAACGCGAAGAACCUUACCAACAAGC